Molecule: ribosomal RNA, 848 nt
Filed under: Rhizophagus intraradices
Lineage: Eukaryota; Fungi; Glomeromycota; Glomeromycetes; Glomerales; Glomeraceae
Description: eukaryotic LSU rRNA
Rfam family: Eukaryotic large subunit ribosomal RNA
Source: RNAcentral
AUUUGACCUCAAAUCARGUAGGAGUACCCGCUGAACUUUAAGCAUAUCAAUAAGCGGAGGAAAAGAAAAUAACAAUGAUUCCCCUAGUAACUGCGAGUGAAGAGGGACAAGCUCAAAUUUUAAAUCUGUUAGGUUUACCUAACCGAGUUGUAAUUUGAAGAGGCGUUUUCUGUGUUUCUGAUCAGCCCAAGUCCUUUGGGAUAGGGCAUCAUGGAGGGUGAGAAUCCCGUUCGGUUGGUCAGAUUCGCUUUACGAUACGUCAUCUAAGAGUCAAGUUGUUUGGGAUUGCAGCUUAAAAUGGGAGGUAAAUUUCUCCUAAGGCUAAAUAACGGCGAGAGACCGAUAGCGAACAAGUACCGUGAGGGAAAGAUGAAAAGAACUUUGAAAAGAGAGUUAAACAGUACGUGAAAUUGUUGAAAGGGAAACGAUUGAAGCCAGUCGUACCUUCGGGUAAUCAGCCUUUCGGGUGCGAUUCUGUGGAGCGUGAGGAGUUAAACGCCUUCAUGCCUGCAUAUUCGUGCACUUUGGGUGUACUUGCCCGUGUGGUAGGUUAACAUCAAUUUCGGAUAUCAUAAAAUGGCUGGAGGAAUGUAGCUUCGGUCUCGUACUGAAGUGUUAUAGCCUCUGGUAGAUGUGAUGACCGGGAUUGAGGAUUGCAACGAAUACCUUUUGGGCUACCCGCCUGAUCUCUGAAAGUUGCUCUGGUGCCGAAAGCUUGCUUACGGUUAUCAAAGUUGACGUUCAAAAGGUUAGAACGGGUUAAAUUCGUUAAGGAUGUUGACGUAAUUGGCUUUAAACGACACGUCUUGAAACACGGACCAAGGAGUCUAACAUAUAUGCGUGUGUUU